CAAUAGCGUAUAUUAAAGUUGUUGCAGUUGAAAAGCUCGUAGUUGGAUUUCUGAUCGAGACAUCAGGUCGGGUCCGAGAGGAUCAUGUACUUUGAUUUUGUUUUGAUCAUCCUUGGGGAGAGCAUUUCUGGCAUUCAGUUGUCGGGAUUGGGAUCCUCAUCGUUUACUGUGAAAAAAUUAGAGUGUUCAAAGCAGGCCUCGGCCUCUGAAUACAUUAGCAUGGAAUAAUAAGAUAGGACUUUGGUGGUCUAUUUUGUUGGUUUGCACGCCAAAGUAAUGAUUAAUAGGGAUAGUUGGGGGUAUUCGUAUUCAAUUGUCAGAGGUGAAAUUCUUGGAUUUAUGGAAGACGAACUACUGCGAAAGCAUUUACCAAGGAUGUUUUCAUUAA
This 388-nucleotide ribosomal RNA is filed under the name uncultured eukaryote. RNAcentral describes it as "partial 18S ribosomal RNA". It matches the Rfam family "Eukaryotic small subunit ribosomal RNA", at positions 592 to 976 of the family's 1831-position model. The record is from RNAcentral.